UGAGUACGAGAUGCUACGGCAUUGAAGCAGUCUAUGUCAUACUUCCAAGAAAAGCUUGCACUGUCAUAAACAAAGAAUGCCUGUACCAUAACCGACACAGGUGGGUAGGUAGAGUAUACUAAGGGGCGCGAGAUAACUCUCUCUAGGGAACUCGGCAAAAUGACUCCGUAACUUCGGGAGGAGGAGUGCCUUAUUUUUAAGGUUGCAAUAACAAGAUCCAAGCAACUGUUUAUCAAAAACACAGGUCUCCGCUAAGUCGUAAGACGAUGUAUGGGGGCUGACGCCUGCCCAGUGCCAGAAGGUUAAAGAAGUUGGUUAGCAUUCGCGAAGCUGAUAACUGAAGCCCUGGUGAACGGCGGCCGUAACAAUAACGGUCCUAAGGUAGCGAAAUUCCUUGUCGGGUAAGUUCCGACCCGCACGAAAGGCGUAAUGAUUUGGAUACUGUCUCGGAGAGGGACUCGGUGAAAUAGACUUGUCUGUGAAGAUGCGGACUACCUGCACCUGGACAGAAAGACCCUAUGAAGCUUUACUGUAACUUGAAAUUGAAAUUGGACUUUAGUUGCGCAGGAUAGGUGGGAGGCGUUGAGAAUAUUCUUGCGGGAGUAUUGGAGCCAUCAGUGAGAUACCACUCUUCUAAUGUUAGAUUUCUAACUUUGUAUCAUUAUCUGGUCAAAGAACAGUUUCAGGCGGGCAGUUUGACUGGGGCGGUCGCCUCCUAAAGGGUAACUGAGGCGCACAAAGGUUUCCUCUGAACGAGUAGAAAUCGUAUCUAGAGUGUAAAGGCAUAAGGAAGCUUGACUGUGAGACCUACAAGUCGAGCAGGGACGAAAGUCUGUCUUAGUGAUCUGACGGUGCUGAGUGGAAAGGCCGUCACUCAACGGAUAAAAGUUACUCUAGGAUAACAGGCUGAUCUCCCCCAAGAGUUCACAUCGACGGGGAGGUUUGGCACCUCGAUGUCGGCUCAUCGCAUCCUGGGGCGGUAGUACGUCCCAAGGGUUGGGCUGUUCGCCCAUGAAAGCGGUACGCGAGCUGGGUUCAGAACGUCGUGAGACAGUUCGGUCCAUAUCCGGUGUAGGCGUUAGAAUAUUGAGAGGAGCCUUCUCUAGUACGAGAGGACCGAGAAGGACAUACCUCUAGUGUACCAGUUAUCGUGCCAACGGUAAACGCUGGGUAGCUAUGUAUGGAGUGGAUAACCGCUGAAAGCAUCUAAGUGGGAAGCCCACCUCAAGAUAAG
RNAcentral lists this ribosomal RNA (1234 nucleotides) under metagenome. RNAcentral describes it as "bacterial LSU rRNA". It matches the Rfam family "Bacterial large subunit ribosomal RNA", at positions 1564 to 2808 of the family's 2925-position model. The record is from RNAcentral.